This is a long non-coding RNA of Triticum aestivum (bread wheat), 3603 nucleotides long. RefSeq lists it as uncharacterized. NCBI's taxonomy places the organism in Eukaryota, Viridiplantae, Streptophyta, Magnoliopsida, Poales, Poaceae. The record is from RefSeq and is a predicted model, not a curated record. The transcript has 2 exons.
CUUGAUUCCGCUAGCAGCUCCCUAAUUUUCGGGCCGAUUCUGCCUCCGUGAUCCUUCUUUCUCUCCCCAGAUCUAGGAAAACAGCGCCACCUCCUUCCUUCUCCCACAAUGACGCUACCCCAAUCCUCAGCCGAACUGCCCCGCGGCACCCUCCCGGGCACUCUCCCCGCCGCCCGCACAACGCCCUCAUCGGCGCGCUCUUCGCCAGAGCAGCCCGGAGCGGCGUGCACUGGAAGCCGGAGCCGGGAAGGAGUGCGGCCACCGCCGGGAGGCAAGGGGAGGCGUGGUCGCGCUCUUUCCGGUCGGCCAUGGAGGCCGCGCGCAAGCCCGCGUUGCGGCAGCGCCCGCUCCCCCUCACCUCUCCGGCCGCACCGGUCUCCUCCCAAAGGACGAAGUGGGCGCAUGUGUGGCGGCCGGAGAGGGAACGAGGCUGCGCGCAAGCCCGCGGCGUGGCGGCGCGGAUCCCUCUUCCCCCUGCCGGUUUGAAAUCCGCACCGUCGCCGGCAAGGUAACUGCUCUCCUCCGGUUAGGCCCUGGCCUGGGCAUGUGCAGCCGGUGCGAGCAAUCACCGAGCCAUCAGUGAUUCGUUGAUACCUAUGAUUCACUCUCUAAUUUGCAUUGGUCAGUAAAAGAUCCUCCUCUAUAAGCGGAGCAGGUUGCUUUGCUUUGUAUCUGAUCUAAUUUGUGCUUUACUUCUUUUUGGGCUGUACUAAUUCUCCAUAUGCUCCAGUUGAGAGAGCAAGAGAAGGUUACUCUACUCCAUUAUCUACUAAUUCCGGCAAUCAAGGUCAAUACAUGUUACAUCAAUCAGGGUCAGUAAUCAGUACUACUAAUUUCAGAGAAGACCUGUAUAGCAGUACUACUCCAUCGGCAAGCGAUCGUUGCUGGAUUUCUUUCACGCCUAUGUGGUGUUGUGCCAUGGUCGCUCUCCCUCCUCCAGGUUUGAUUUUUCAAGUUUCAUGCCUUGUGUUUUAAGAUGUCAUCCCAAAAGUAUUUGUAACAUGAAAAACCAAAGAAAGAGAAGAUUAACACGUGAGUUUAUAAAUUCUCAAAAGGAAGUCAUUGAAGAAAUUUUAGGACAAAUAUAAGGUCUAAUUGGCACUUGAACCGGCAAAGGGCCUCACUUUGUUAUCUUGCACAGGGACUCAGCCAAGUCCGGCCUGGCCAUGCCUCCGUCCUCCCGCCUUGCCGGCUACGUGUGUGUGCUGUCUGUGCUUGAUGCUGCGUGCUUGUUGGCUUGUCACUGGGUGCUUGUUGCUGCUGGCCUGCUGCUGCUGCUGCUUUGCUGUAUAUAUUUGUAUAAUGCUUGCUUUGCAAAGUAGAGAACCUUUUUUUUAGCCUCCACCAAUUUAUUGUUCUCCUUGUGUUGCUUGGAUAAAAUGAAAUGCAUACUAUACUGCUACUCCUACUGAGACUUGUCACAAUUUCUGUAUCCUGUGUUACAAUGAGACUCGCAGUUCACAAUUCAGGUGGAAGGUAAUCAAUUUCCUAAGGAUAAACUUCAUACUUGAAUCUACAUUGUGUAAUGUGUGACAAAUAUGAACGUUGGCAGCGUCUGAUUUGUGCCCUUUUAAAUUUCAAAUGGGGUGAUUCCAAAGAAGCAGAUUAAACUUGCCCUAAGUGCUGUGUUUGGGAGAUCGAGCAUGGCUUACGUAUGCCUUUGCCACAAAAUUCUGUUCUUGGGGCUAAAGAUCUGCCAAGGGCCAUGCUUAGCGAUCAUAUAGAAGAACAACUCUUUAAACGGCUCAAUGAAGAGAGACACGAACGGGCUAUUCAUGAUGGGAAAAGUUUUGAUGAGAUCCUUGUUUCAUGCACGUGCACUUUUUUGGGGUAAUCGGGAGUUUUUUCCGGACUGAAUAAGUAGAGUUAUUGUCAAGCUGAAGGCUGAAAAUGAAGUCAUGAUUCAUAUUUAUCCAAGCACACCUUUACCGCUCAGGAGAAGCAUUUUUUGCACACAGGUGAGCAGCAACAUUGGCUGGUCUGUGCACAAGCCUAAAUUUUGAAAACUAGAAUAAACUCUACUUAGUUGGUUCACUUCCUUCAGGAUGGGGGCAAUCACUGAUCUGUCUUGAGCAUUACUGGACCAAAAUAUAUGUACCACCUAGCAACAGAUUGCUGGUACAAAUAUAUGUACAUACAUUUGGGUGUAUAGCUGGUUGAUGUAUUGUUUUAAUGAGGGUUUGGUUUACGAGUGUGUGCAGUCUGUAUAAGACUAGGAGUAUUGGAUGGUUUUGAGUCGGCACUCGGCAGUAUCUAUUUUGAAUGAAGUUUGUGGUAUGUAUAGGGGUGAUAGAUUGGAUAGGAACUUCUGUUCUAAUAAUUACUAUGGUUCUGGUGAAAUCAUGUUUUGGUUGAAUUAUAUAUUUGGAACUGAUCUUAAUUUUGCUGGAUAAAUCAAUUCCGAAAUCCAAUAAACUUCUAUAAUUUCUAUAAUUUCCAAGAAUAGGAGUAUUGCUGGUUAAUCAAUUGAUUUACAUUAAUAUCUUAAAAGGGGACCGCACGCAUGUCCUGAUGCUAAAUCUUUUUAGAAAGGAAGGGUUUAUGUAAUUUUGGUAGGAUAAAAAAUGUAACCUUAGUAUUACCUAGAGCUAGGAUAUGUGAGUAGAUUAUUUUAAUUUUUGAGCUCAUAUGUGAGAUCAUGAUAAAAUUUGGAAUAUCAUGUUGCUAUAACGGAAUCAGUCAGGAUAGUGAAGUCUGCACCAAAAUGUUGACCACCCUUUUUUGUUUUUUAAGUUACGGAAUUUAAACAAGUCUCUUGGAAAAAUAACUAUCCUAUCCCUUUCUACAAUUUCUAUAUAUUUGUUAGAUAAGGUAAGUAUUGUAUAAUAGUUUGGUUUUCCGUGAUUUUUUUCAUUCCUCUGUGUAAAUAGCCUAAUAUGGGUUCACAGUCAAUAACAUGCUCACCAUCGAGAGUAACGAUGAGUCGAUAUGUACUCCUAAUUCUCUCUUAUAAAAGUGAAGUCCAAAUGCCUACUGGCUGCUUUUAGGUGACUGGAAUUUUGAGCCGCGUCAGUCAACAUGUGCCUGAGAAGUAGGUAAGACGGAGCUAAGGCUGAGAUGGAGGCAACACUGCCUGCCACAACGUCUCCAAGAUGCUGAGCUGGGACCUGGACGGAGGCAGGGACGACACUACUUGUGGUGGCAGUCUCCAAGAUGAAGAUCUAGGACCUAGAUGGAGGCAGGGACGACACAACUUGUCCCGGCGUCGUCAGCGGAGGACAUGCAAUGGGUUGUGGGGUUUGGGUGGAGGUGGGUUAGAGGGAUGACCGGUGGCAGCAACGGCAACUUGGGCAGACCAGGGCGGCGAGGCUGCAGUGCGGGCGUUCGUGUGCCUGGAGGUAGAAGGUUACAGACCGUUGGAUCGUAAUAUGGGAAGGCGGAGGAAAAACUGACUGAAGAAAAAAUCUUUUCGAGCCUGAAAUAGUCGCUCUCAAUUGUAACCAUAGAAGCUUGGCACGUUUGAAGAACCAGAGUUGCCUAUGUGUUAUAGAGGUUUUUCUUGCAACUUUAAGGCCUUUGUUUGCUCUAUCUUGAAGACCUUUGUUCUACAUGUCUUACUAUGGGUUUUGAAGAAAUAGAGUUGUGUGAUCUGACAUGGUGAAA